This 253-nucleotide ribosomal RNA is filed under the name uncultured bacterium. RNAcentral's name for it is "partial 16S ribosomal RNA". It matches the Rfam family "Bacterial small subunit ribosomal RNA", at positions 524 to 776 of the family's 1533-position model. The record is from RNAcentral.
UACGGAGGGUGCAAGCGUUAUCCGGAAUCAUUGGGCGUAAAGCGUCCGCAGGUGGUUUGUUAAGUUGAUCGUUAAAUUUUGAAGCCCAACUUCAAAAGUGUGGUCAAAACUGGCAAACUAGAGCAAUUUAGAGGUACGCGGAAUUCUGUGUGUAGGGGUAAAAUCCGUAGAUACACAGAGGAACACCAAAAGCGAAGGCAGCGUACUGGAAAUUUGCUGACACUCAGGGACGAAAGCGUGGGUAGCGAACGGG